CAACCCUCGAGCCCCCGUGGCCCGGCGUUGGGGACCUGCCCAGGCAGUCCCCGAAAACCAGUGGCGGACCCGACGGGCCCUUCCUUUGCGUAGUAACAUCUGCCUCGCAUCGGGAGCCCCCGGGCUAUCCGGCCUCUAAACCCCCCUCAAGCCCGCUCCGGCGGCACCAA
RNAcentral lists this unclassified non-coding RNA (170 nucleotides) under Gibellulopsis nigrescens. RNAcentral describes it as "sequence contains ITS2". Lineage: Eukaryota; Fungi; Ascomycota; Sordariomycetes; Glomerellales; Plectosphaerellaceae. The record is from RNAcentral. RNAcentral also lists the same sequence under 3 other names.